This 371-nucleotide ribosomal RNA is filed under the name uncultured bacterium. RNAcentral's name for it is "bacterial SSU rRNA". It matches the Rfam family "Bacterial small subunit ribosomal RNA", at positions 525 to 896 of the family's 1533-position model. The record is from RNAcentral.
ACGAAGGGGGCUAGCGUUGUUCGGAAUUACUGGGCGUAAAGCGCGUGUAGGCGGUUUGCCAAGUCGGGUGUGAAAGCCUUGGGCUUAACCCAAGAAAUGCACUCGGUACUGGCAGACUAGAGGACCGGAGAGGAUAGUGGAAUUCCCAGUGUAGUGGUGAAAUACGUAGAGAUUGGGAAGAACACCAGUGGCGAAGGCGGCUAUCUGGACGGUUUCUGACGCUAAGACGCGAAAGCGUGGGGAGCAAACAGGAUUAGAUACCCUGGUAGUCCACGCCGUAAACGAUGGGUGCUAGACGUUGGCGAGCUUGCUCGUCAGUGUCGCAGCUAACGCGUUAAGCACCCCGCCUGGGGAGUACGGCCGCAAGGUUG